CAGUCGCCACGGUAAUCCGGAGGGAGCUAGCGUUGUUCGGAAUUACUGGGCGUAAAGCGCACGUAGGCGGCUUUGUAAGUUAGAGGUGAAAGCCUGGGGCUCAACUCCAGAAUUGCCUUUAAGACUGCAUCGCUUGAAUCAUGGAGAGGCGGGUGGAAUUCCGAGUGUAGAGGUGAAAUUCGUAGAUAUUCGGAAGAACACCAGUGGCGAAGGCGGCCCGCUGGACAUGUAUUGACGCUGAGGUGCGAAAGCGUGGGGAGCAAACAGGAUUAGAUACCCCAGUAGUCCCUGUCUCUUAUAU
RNAcentral lists this ribosomal RNA (301 nucleotides) under uncultured bacterium. RNAcentral's name for it is "partial 16S ribosomal RNA". It matches the Rfam family "Bacterial small subunit ribosomal RNA", at positions 509 to 809 of the family's 1533-position model. The record is from RNAcentral.